GUGGGGAAUCUUGCGCAAUGGGCGAAAGCCUGACGCAGCCAUGCCGCGUAAAUGAUGAAGGUCUUAGGAUUGUAAAAUUCUUUCACCGGGGACGAUAAUGACGGUACCCGGAGAAGAAGCCCCGGCUAACUUCGUGCCAGCAGCCGCGGUAAUACGAAGGGGGCUAGCGUUGCUCGGAAUUACUGGGCGUAAAGGGCGCGUAGGCGGACAGUUUAGUUAGAGGUGAAAGCCCAGGGCUCAACCUUGGAAUUGCCUUUGAUACUGGCUGUCUUGAGUACGGGAGAGGUGAGUGGAACUCCGAGUGUAGAGGUGAAAUUCGUAGAUAUUCGGAAGAACACCAGUGGCGAAGGCGACUCACUGGCCCGUUACUGACGCUGAGGCGCGAAAGCGUGGGGAGCAAACAGGAUUAGAAACCCCUGUAGUCC
RNAcentral lists this ribosomal RNA (425 nucleotides) under uncultured bacterium. RNAcentral's name for it is "partial 16S ribosomal RNA". It matches the Rfam family "Bacterial small subunit ribosomal RNA", at positions 354 to 796 of the family's 1533-position model. The record is from RNAcentral.